Molecule: ribosomal RNA, 253 nt
Filed under: uncultured bacterium
Lineage: Bacteria
Description: partial 16S ribosomal RNA
Rfam family: Bacterial small subunit ribosomal RNA
Source: RNAcentral
UACGUAGGGUGCGAGCGUUGUCCGGAAUCAUUGGGCGUAAAGCGCGUGUAGGCGGUCCGGUAAGUCCGCUGUGAAAGUCGGGGGCUCAACCCUCGGAUGCCGGUGGAUACUGUCGGGCUUGAGUACGGAAGAGGCGAGUGGAAUUCCUGGUGUAGCGGUGAAAUGCGCAGAUAUCAGGAGGUACACCAAUUGCGAAGGCAGCUCGCUGGGACGUUACUGACGCUGAGACGCGAAAGCGUGGGGAGCAAACAGG